Non-coding RNA from Brassica rapa (field mustard), 99 nucleotides. The record is from Rfam. NCBI's taxonomy places the organism in Eukaryota, Viridiplantae, Streptophyta, Magnoliopsida, Brassicales, Brassicaceae.
AGAAUGAAGUUGAGCCAAGGAUGACUUGCCGAUUUUUUCCAACGAAUCUAUACUGAUUUUGGUGUUUGGCAAGUUGACUUUGGCUCUGUUUCCUUCUCU